CAGGCGUUCUAUCUUCUCCUCCCCUCGUUCCUCGUCCGCCUGCGCCGCCGAGGAGUACUUCAUUGCCAGACCUGAAAAAAUGGGAUGCGACUCACACUCCCGACUAAGCAGCAAAGGAGACGGCGCCGGAUCCGGCGGAAUUUGCAUGGCGUCCAGGCUGCUGAGUGGGCUCCCUCCACACGGGUAAACAAUUUGUACAUCCUGAAACUGCCUGCUGCGUCCCGGCAGAUUGAAGCCGAUCCGGUGGCGUUGGAAGUUCGAACAAUGGUGGCUGAAGAGCGAUGCUCGCCGGGGGGUGAAACUUCGAGAUCCUCGAGCAGCUAGGUUUCUCGGCUAGGUUUCCUCUAUUAGCUCUCUAUCUUCAUCUUUUCUGCAAAAUUUUCUCUACAAUCCUCUCUUCCGCACAACGAUUCUACUGUGUCCGCACUGCAAUUAUGUCUCUCCAGUCUCCAUUUUGUGCAGGGAGUGUUCAUGCUGGUUCCGGUCAACUUUGUCAGCCAAGGCUGGGCUUCCGCCCAACGAUUCUAUGGUGUUCAGUGUAAUUUAUCAUGUCUCUCCGGUAUCCAUUUUGCGCUGGGACUGUUCAUGGCUCCAUGCUGUUUCCAGUCAACUCGUUCAGCCAAUCUUGGAGGCUGAGCUGAUGUAUUGAAUUGGGGAUUUCUUGCGUGACAAUUCCUUAUGGUUGCCGGCCAGGCCAGUGCUAUCAUCAACAGUUCAAUGUCUUGUGAACCAAAGCCAAUAGCAGUUAAAGGUUCAUCUGGCAGCCAUCGUUCUUGCCUAGUGCUAGGAACGGUUGCACUCCCUGCUGGGGGUUGAUGGCGCGUCAACCAUUGUGCAACACAGAGUUCAAGUGAGGAGGGG
This is a long non-coding RNA of Lolium rigidum, 861 nucleotides long. RefSeq lists it as uncharacterized. NCBI's taxonomy places the organism in Eukaryota, Viridiplantae, Streptophyta, Magnoliopsida, Poales, Poaceae. The record is from RefSeq and is a predicted model, not a curated record. The transcript is spliced from 5 exons.